RNAcentral lists this ribosomal RNA (468 nucleotides) under uncultured bacterium. Its description in RNAcentral is "partial 16S ribosomal RNA". It matches the Rfam family "Bacterial small subunit ribosomal RNA", at positions 29 to 507 of the family's 1533-position model. The record is from RNAcentral.
ACGAACGCUGGCGGCGUGCUUAACACAUGCAAGUCGAGCGGUGAAGCGAGUGCUUGCACUCGUGGAUCAGUGGCGAACGGGUGAGUAACACGUGAGUAACCUGCCCAUGACUCUGGGAUAAGCACUGGAAACGGUGUCUAAUACUGGAUACGACCAACCCUUGCAUGGGGUGUUGGUGGAAAGAUUUAUCGGUGAUGGAUGGACUCGCGGCCUAUCAGCUUGUUGGCGGGGUAAUGGCCCACCAAGGCGACGACGGGUAGCCGGCCUGAGAGGGUGACCGGCCACACUGGGACUGAGACACGGCCCAGACUCCUACGGGAGGCAGCAGUGGGGAAUAUUGCACAAUGGGCGAAAGCCUGAUGCAGCGACGCCGCGUGAGGGAUGACGGCCUUCGGGUUGUAAACCUCUUUCAGCAGGGAAGAAGCGAAAGUGACGGUACCUGCAGAAGAAGCACCGGCUAACUACGUG